AUUGAACGCUGGCGGCAUGCCUUACACAUGCAAGUCGAACGGCAGCGGACCUUCGGGUGCCGGCGAGUGGCGAACGGGUGAGUAAUAUAUCGGAACGUACCUUUCAGUGGGGGAUAACGUAGCGAAAGUUACGCUAAUACCGCAUAUUCUGUGAGCAGGAAAGCAGGGGAUCGCAAGACCUUGCGCUGAUUGAGCGGCCGAUAUCAGAUUAGCUAGUUGGUGAGGUAAAGGCUCACCAAGGCGACGAUCUGUAGCGGGUCUGAGAGGAUGAUCCGCCACACUGGAACUGAGACACGGUCCAGACUCCUACGGGAGGCAGCAGUGGGGAAUUUUGGACAAUGGGCGCAAGCCUGAUCCAGCCAUGCCGCGUGUGUGAAGAAGGCCUUAGGGUUGUAAAGCACUUUCAUUGGGGAGAAAGGCUGUUUGGUUAAUACCCAAGCAGAUUGAUGUUACCCAAAG
RNAcentral lists this ribosomal RNA (459 nucleotides) under uncultured bacterium. Its description in RNAcentral is "bacterial SSU rRNA". It matches the Rfam family "Bacterial small subunit ribosomal RNA", at positions 30 to 484 of the family's 1533-position model. The record is from RNAcentral.